RNAcentral lists this transfer RNA (56 nucleotides) under Aplidium tabarquensis. RNAcentral's name for it is "transfer RNA-Arg". Lineage: Eukaryota; Metazoa; Chordata; Ascidiacea; Aplousobranchia; Polyclinidae. The record is from RNAcentral.
AAGUUUUUAGUUUAUAUAAAAUAUUUGUUUUCGGUACGGAAGAUUUUUAAAACUUG